This 92-nucleotide transfer RNA is filed under the name Streptomyces sp. YIM 130001. RNAcentral describes it as "tRNA-Gly". Lineage: Bacteria; Bacillati; Actinomycetota; Actinomycetes; Kitasatosporales; Streptomycetaceae. The record is from RNAcentral.
CCGCGCCGGUGGCCCUCGGCGAGCGGGCCCGCGCUGCCGGCGCGGACGCCGGGCCGCUGUCCCGGGUGCUGUUCGACGCGGCGCUGUGCGGG